Molecule: ribosomal RNA, 260 nt
Filed under: uncultured bacterium
Lineage: Bacteria
Description: partial 16S ribosomal RNA
Rfam family: Bacterial small subunit ribosomal RNA
Source: RNAcentral
GUCCACGCCGUAACGAUGAGUACUAGCUGUAUGGGGUAUCGACUCCCUGUGUAGCGAAGCUAACGCGAUAAGUACUCCGCCUGGGGACUACGACCGCAAGGUUAAACUCAAAGGAAUUGACGGGGCCCGCACAAGCAGCGGAGCGUGCGGUUUAAUUCGAAGCUACGCGAAGAACCUUACCAGGGCUUGACAUGGCGUUGACCGCCGAUGAAAGUCGGCUUCCCUUCGGGGCGGCGUCACAGAUGCUGCAUGGCUGUCGU